This 424-nucleotide ribosomal RNA is filed under the name uncultured eukaryote. Its description in RNAcentral is "SSU rRNA". It matches the Rfam family "Eukaryotic small subunit ribosomal RNA", at positions 592 to 1018 of the family's 1831-position model. The record is from RNAcentral.
CAAUAGCGUAUAUUAAAGUUGUUGCAGUUAAAAGCUCGUAGUUGGAUUUCUGGCAGGAGCGACCGGUCACACACUCUGUGCGUGAACUUGUGUUGUCUCUGGCCAUCCUUGGGGAGAUCCUGUUUGGCAUUAAGUUGUCGGGCAGGGGAUACCCAUCGUUUACUGUGAAAAAUUAGAGUGUUUAAAGCAGGCUUAUGCCGUUGAAUAUAUUAGCAUGGAAUAAUAAGAUAGGACCUCGGUUCUAUUUUGUUGGUUUCUAGAGCUGAGGUAAUGAUUAAUAGGGAUAGUUGGGGGCAUUAGUAUUUAAUUGUCAGAGGUGGAAUUCUCGGAUUUGUUAAAGACUAACUUAUGCGAAAGCAUUUGCCAAGGAUGUUUUCAUUAAUCAAGAACGAAAGUUAGGGGAUCAAAGAUGAUUAGAUACCAU